CUUAAUAAUGUUCAGUAAGAUUUGCAGUUACUUUUUAGCAAACGCAUUUUGUAAAACUCAGUGAAGGGUAGAGUGAAGAAAGUGUCUUUUUACAAAGGCCUAGCUAUUGCUGAAUGUGUUGACUCAAAUGAUAUUCUGGAGAAGUUCCAGGCGAUGAGUGUUGGAUGUAGUAGCCACUAGAGGCUGCUGGAGGGCGCAAAAGAAACAGUGUUGAAAUAAGAGUUGAAUGAAAUAAGAAUACCAGCUAAAGUAAGAAUGGAGACCAGUACUCUGUAGCAGCACAUGCUGGGCAGACCAAUCUCCUCCCUGAUGAAGAAACCAACCAUUCGUCAAAAGAAGGACCAAGAGAAGGUUUGCAGUUACUCAUUGAUUCUGAGAAGGAUGGACAACUGUUGCCUUAAGGAGAGGAUUCAUGGAGAACAAGACAGGGGGAGUCGUGCUACCUGUGAAGAGGUGAACAGGGAAGAUGCAGCAUUCAUUUUAACAUUUCAUUCAUUCCCCCCAGGUUGUGAAUAUUUAUGAUUAAUGUUAUAUACUUUUUCUCAAAGCACUUAUUGUCCUCAAGUCCAACUCAUGCAAAAUGUUAAAUACAUUAAAACUGUUCUAGAAUUUUUUUGGGAUCCUUAGGUUCAAAAGUCUAUAAACGUAUAUAACAUUUGGUUAAGCUUGGUGAAUAGGACCCAUUUAUUAUGUUAAGUCUCCAAGCAUCACAUGCUGUAACACAGAAAUACAGGAAUACAGUUCAGUUCAAGGUCAAUUUUCUUUAUAGUUUAUUUUUUUAAACAACCCUGAACAAACAUAUAUUCUUUUUAUAGGCACUGAAAAGCCCACACUUCUUGUUACUCAAGUGAGUUCUUAACAGAGUGCAGUACAAGAGCGGCUGCCCACAGGGGGCAGUGAAAAGUUCCUCUGUAAGAGAAUGAGCACUCUGGAGACUGUUCAAGACGAUUUCCUGGAGCACAGUAUUGAUCUGAGAGACGAACAAGCCCCGGUAACAAAUCCCAACUACUUUCUCCCAAAGACCUUUUCAAAUCCCUCUUUAAUCACUAGCUAAGAGGCAGAAAAUUAAGGGUUUUGCAGUUUUGAAAGGUGCACUUGUGAGAAUAUAUGGAAUAAUUUUGUUCUUUUUUUAACCAUAUGCACACUGACAAUAGAAAGUAUAACCUAUCAAAUCCUUUAGUUAUAAACUGUGAGAUGUAUUAUUUAACAGGACACUGGAUUUUUGUAUUGGGAUAAAUUGGAUAAAUAAAACUUGACGAUAUGCAAAUGAGAAUAACAACAACAACAACAACAAAAAUGUGUGUUACAAAGACUGCUUUUUAAUGAUACCAAAUGCAGACAUUCACAAAUAACUGUGGUAUAAUGCUUUGGAAUAUGAAAUUGUAUACUUGUUGUUGACCUCUGAUGCAAUGUGGCAAUGUAGAACACAAAUAUUAAUAAUGCAGGACAAUAAUUUACAUUGUUGUUAACAUAGUAUUUUACAAGUGACAUACAUUAAGCUGAAAAUAUUAACUGCAGUGGAAAUCAAUAACACUGCAGUUUCACUAAGUACAGUAAAAUAAUAUAUCUUUGAUAUCCAUCAUAUAUAUAUAUAUAAUAUAUUUUGUAUAUAUAAUAUAUAUUGUAACAUGGCAGGGAAGGGGUUAAGUUUCCCUGCCCAGAAACAUGUGAGAAUGAACAUUUGGGUGUAAUGGGUUAAUUGUUUAAUUUUUAGUUAUCCCCUGCACCUGGUGUUAAUUGUAAAUUAGAGCCAGGUGCAGGGUAUUUAAAGAAGGAAGCCAGUCUGUUCAGGGCUGCUGGUGUGUGAGGUGCCCGAUUGUAGGUGUGUGCAAUCGUAGUAGAAAAAAAAAAAAGGUAGUGUGAGAAAGCCUUUUUGUGUGUUCUGUUUUUUUUUUUCCAAGGUGUGUUACAAGUAAUCAGCUUAGCUGUCCUGAGUGAGUUAAGUUCCUGUGUGUAAUAGUUAGUGCUCAAGAAAGAGCCAGGUGUUUGUUUUUAUUUUUGUUUGGGUUUAUUAAAAGUAUGCAUAAGCGCAAGAACAAUCAA
Polyodon spathula (Mississippi paddlefish) is the source of this 2043-nucleotide long non-coding RNA. RefSeq lists it as uncharacterized. Lineage: Eukaryota; Metazoa; Chordata; Actinopteri; Acipenseriformes; Polyodontidae. The record is from RefSeq and is a predicted model, not a curated record. The transcript is spliced from 3 exons.